AUGUGGUUCGCCCACAAAGGAAUCAUCUUGACCAAAGAUAAUCUGAUGAAAAGGAAUUGGGUUGGUAACCCCAGGUGUUGUUUUGAUCAAAACGGAACAAGUAAACACCUCUUUCUCGAGUGUCCACUUGCAAAAUUGUUAUGGCGAUCUAGUUAUGGACUGUGCUAA
This 168-nucleotide ribosomal RNA is filed under the name Triticum aestivum (bread wheat). RNAcentral describes it as "partial small subunit ribosomal RNA". The record is from RNAcentral. Lineage: Eukaryota; Viridiplantae; Streptophyta; Magnoliopsida; Poales; Poaceae.